UAAUACGGAGGAUCCAAGCGUUAUCCGGAUUUAUUGGGUUUAAAGGGAGCGUAGGCGGCCUAUUAAGUCAGGGGUGAAAGACGGUGGCUCAACCAUCGCAGUGCCUUUGAUACUGGUAGGCUUGAAUGUAGUUGAGGUAGGCGGAAUGUGACAAGUAGCGGUGAAAUGCAUAGAUAUGUCACAGAACACCGAUUGCGAAGGCAGCUUACUAAGCUAUGAUUGACGCUGAGGCUCGAAAGCGUGGGGAUCAAACAGGA
RNAcentral lists this ribosomal RNA (257 nucleotides) under uncultured archaeon. Its description in RNAcentral is "partial 16S ribosomal RNA". It matches the Rfam family "Bacterial small subunit ribosomal RNA", at positions 521 to 777 of the family's 1533-position model. The record is from RNAcentral.